Molecule: unclassified non-coding RNA, 317 nt
Filed under: uncultured fungus
Lineage: Eukaryota; Fungi
Description: partial contains small subunit ribosomal RNA, internal transcribed spacer 1, and 5.8S ribosomal RNA
Rfam family: Eukaryotic small subunit ribosomal RNA (bases 1-73)
Source: RNAcentral
ACAAACUUGGUCAUUUAGAGGAAGUAAAAGUCGUAACAAGGUUUCCGUAGGUGAACCUGCGGAAGGAUCAUUAUAGAAUAUACUUUUCAAGUACGAUUCUUGAUUAUAUCCCGUUGACUACAUACUCUGUUGCUUCCAUGGCGCCAGCUAAAGUUCCUUUGGCCUCUGGACAGGAAGUUUUAUACUUUCUGCCUGGGGAGUGCCCAUGGGUCCAUGUGUAUAAAAAUCUCUUUGCUGAAGUUGUCGGAAUACAUUUCGAAUGAAAUAAAACUUUCAACAACGGAUCUCUAGGCUCUUGCAUCGAUGAAGAACGCAGC